Molecule: small nuclear RNA, 112 nt
Organism: Nycticebus coucang (slow loris)
Lineage: Eukaryota; Metazoa; Chordata; Mammalia; Primates; Lorisidae
Source: RefSeq, a predicted model, not a curated record
GUGCUCACCUAGGCAGCACAUAUACCAAAACUGGACCAAUGCAGAGGAGAAAAAAAACGCAUGGCCCCUGUGCAAGGAUAACAUGCAAAUUUGGGAAAUGUCCUGUAUUUUU